RNAcentral lists this unclassified non-coding RNA (446 nucleotides) under Hevea brasiliensis (rubber tree). The record is from RNAcentral. Lineage: Eukaryota; Viridiplantae; Streptophyta; Magnoliopsida; Malpighiales; Euphorbiaceae.
AUGAAAUUGCAAAUUCUAAAUUCUGAAUCUAAGUAUGAUAAAUUUGGAGUAGGAAAGCUCUUUAAAGUCCAAAACUGGACUUACUUUUUCAUGGCCUAUUAAAACAUGAGAUUGGUGGCCAAAAUUUUCUUUGAUGUUGAGAGAAUGCAGUGAAGACCACGGGAGGAAAAACUAGAAGUGAAAAGUGUGAGGCCGCGUGCUUAUAGUGCGGGCAGGCGUGUGCCCUACUCCGAGUGCUCUCAAGUUGAGUGAUUUGUGGGUUGAAUGAACCAACACCUCUGCACACGCCAAUUCUUCAACCAAUCAUCUUCAUUGUGCCCAUCCUUUGAUGGGUCUAGCCAUGCCGCGACCACAAGAGUGGGGAUGCUUUGUAAGUCUUUGUUUAGAUUAUUAUCUUCAGGGGCUCUGGUCGUUGGCUCCAGCUAGUUGAAUUUUGUAUUCCAAGU